GGCGCUGUAAGGCAGUCUGGACGCCGUCAGGACUCAUGAUCCUGAAACCGUGGUUCAAAUCCACGCAGCGCCA
This 73-nucleotide transfer RNA is filed under the name candidate division CPR3 bacterium GWF2_35_18. Its description in RNAcentral is "tRNA-Met". It matches the Rfam family "tRNA". From Rfam's summary of the family: Transfer RNA (tRNA) molecules are approximately 80 nucleotides in length. Their secondary structure includes four short double-helical elements and three loops (D, anti-codon, and T loops). RNAcentral also lists the same sequence under 2 other names. The record is from RNAcentral. Lineage: Bacteria; candidate division CPR3.